CUCGUGACUGCGUGCCUUUUGAAGAAUGAGCCUGCGAGUUUGCGGUGUGUUGCGAGGUUAACCCGGGUGGGGUAGCCGUAGCGAAAGCGAGUCCGAACAGGGCGAUUUUAGUAGCACGCUCAAGACCCGAAGCGGAGUGAUCUAGCCAUGGGCAGGUUGAAGCGGAGGUAAGACUUCGUGGAGGACCGAACCCACCAGGGUUGAAAACCUGGGGGAUGACCUGUGGUUAGGGGUGA
This 236-nucleotide ribosomal RNA is filed under the name Streptomyces sp. WAC02707. RNAcentral describes it as "partial 23S ribosomal RNA". It matches the Rfam family "Bacterial large subunit ribosomal RNA", at positions 590 to 824 of the family's 2925-position model. The record is from RNAcentral. Lineage: Bacteria; Bacillati; Actinomycetota; Actinomycetes; Kitasatosporales; Streptomycetaceae.